UACAGAGGUCUCAAGCGUUGUUCGGAUUCAUUGGGCGUAAAGGGUGCGUAGGCGGCGCGGUAAGUCGGGUGUGAAAUCUCGGAGCUUAACUUCGAAACUGCAUUCGAUACUGCCGUGCUUGAGGACUGGAGAGGAGACUGGAAUUUACGGUGUAGCGGUGAAAUGCGUAGAGAUCAUGAGGAAGACCAGUGGCGAAGGCGGGUCUCUGGACAGUUCCUGACACUGAGGCACGAAGGCCAGGGGAGCAAACGGG
Molecule: ribosomal RNA, 253 nt
Filed under: uncultured bacterium
Lineage: Bacteria
Description: partial 16S ribosomal RNA
Rfam family: Bacterial small subunit ribosomal RNA
Source: RNAcentral